RNAcentral lists this long non-coding RNA (280 nucleotides) under Lathyrus oleraceus (garden pea). RNAcentral describes it as "Pisum sativum (pea) long non-coding RNA (PSAT_LNC029191)". The record is from RNAcentral. Lineage: Eukaryota; Viridiplantae; Streptophyta; Magnoliopsida; Fabales; Fabaceae.
AACUUCCUUUUGUUCUUGUACGAUCCAUUACUUUCUCUUGAAUUUCCAAAUGAUUUGAAUUUGUUUGGUUGAGUAAACCCAAUGAACCCAACCUCUGCAUCAUAAAACAACAAAAAUAUAAUACAAAAAUUAAAACGCAAACAAUAAUAACAACAACAUACAACACAAAUUUUUUAACUUAUACUUAUACCCCAAGCACAUCACGGGUACAUUUCACGGAUAUCCUCUCAUACUCCUCAUCAUUCACCUUCUUUGGCUCCACCACAACCAUCAUCUCUUG